AGAGAUUUUCGAGGAUCCUGAAAUCAGGGCACAGGUGCAGCUGCCAGCCCUGCCUCCUGUUCAUGCUGGCUCUUGAGUGUCCCUGGUAAUAAGUUCAAAUACAGUAUCUGAGGGGGAUUGGUUCCAGAACCUCCUGCAGAUACCCAAAUCCAGGAUAGUGCAGAAAGGUGUAUACUAAACAACAUUUGGAAGAAGAAAAACCUGGCAUCAUUCUGAGAAAGUAUUUUCUCUAACUCUGAGCAUGCAGUUAAUUCUAUGGAUAAACUGAAAGGAACAGGAUGGAUAUUGGACA
RNAcentral lists this long non-coding RNA (292 nucleotides) under Homo sapiens (human). RNAcentral describes it as "HSALNT0135287". Lineage: Eukaryota; Metazoa; Chordata; Mammalia; Primates; Hominidae. The record is from RNAcentral.